Dama dama (fallow deer) is the source of this 73-nucleotide non-coding RNA. The record is from the annotation of a RefSeq genome assembly. Lineage: Eukaryota; Metazoa; Chordata; Mammalia; Artiodactyla; Cervidae.
UCCCUGGUGGUCCAGUGGUCAGAACUUGGCACUUUCACUGCCAAGGGUCCAGGUUCAAUCCCUGGAUGGGGAA